GAUGAACGCUGGCGGCGUGCCUAAUACAUGCAAGUCGAGCGAACGGACGAGAAGCUUGCUUCUCUGAUGUUAGCGGCGGACGGGUGAGUAACACGUGGAUAACCUACCUAUAAGACUGGGAUAACUUCGGGAAACCGUAGCUAAUACCGGAUAAUAUUUUGAACCGCAUGGUUCAAAAGUGAAAGACGGUCUUGCUGUCACUUAUAGAUGGAUCCGCGCUGCAUUAGCUAGUUGGUAAGGUAACGGCUUACCAAGGCAACGAUGCAUAGCCGACCUGAGAGGGUGAUCGGCCACACUGGAACUGAGACACGGUCCAGACUCCUACGGGAGGCAGCAGUAGGGAAUCUUCCGCAAUGGGCGAAAGCAUGACGGAGCAACGCCGCGUGAGUGAUGAAGGUCUUCGGAUCGUAAAACUCUGUUAUUAGGGAAGAACAUAUGUGUAAGUAACUGUGCACAUCUUGACGGUACCUAAUCAGAAGGCCACGGCUAACUACGUG
This 497-nucleotide ribosomal RNA is filed under the name uncultured bacterium. RNAcentral describes it as "partial 16S ribosomal RNA". It matches the Rfam family "Bacterial small subunit ribosomal RNA", at positions 28 to 507 of the family's 1533-position model. The record is from RNAcentral.